GAUGAACGCUAGCGGCAGGCCUAAUACAUGCAAGUCGAACGGGAUCCAUCAUCUAGCUUGCUAGAUGAUGGUGAGAGUGGCGCACGGGUGUGUAACGCGUGAGCAACCUACCCAUAUCAGGGGGAUAGCCCGGAGAAAUCCGGAUUAACACCGCAUAACACAUUUUAUUCGCAUGGAUUGAAUGUUAAAUAUUUAUAGGAUAUGGAUGGGCUCGCGUGACAUUAGCUAGUUGGUAAGGUAACGGCUUACCAAGGCGACGAUGUCUAGGGGCUCUGAGAGGAGAAUCCCCCACACUGGUACUGAGACACGGACCAGACUCCUACGGGAGGCAGCAGUAAGGAAUAUUGGUCAAUGGAGGGAACUCUGAACCAGCCAUGCCGCGUGCAGGAUGACUGCCCUAUGGGUUGUAAACUGCUUUUAUCUAGGAAUAAACCUAAGUACGUGUACUUAGCUGAAUGUACUAGAAGAAUAAGGAUCGGCUAACUCCGUGCCAGCAGCCGCGGUAAUACGGAGGAUCCAAGCGUUAUCCGGAUUUAUUGGGUUUAAAGGGUGCGUAGGCGGCCUAUUAAGUCAGGGGUGAAAGACGGCAGCUCAACUGUCGCAGUGCCUUUGAUACUGAUGGGCUUGAAUGUGGUUGAAGAUGGCGGAAUGAGACAAGUAGCGGGUGAAAUGCAUAGAUAUGUCUCAGAACUCCGAUUGCGAAGGCAGCUGUCUAAGUCAUAAUUGACGCUGAUGCACGAAAGCGUGGGGAUCGAACAGGAUUAGAUACCCUGGUAGUCCACGCUGUAAACGAUGAGUGCUAGUUGUCGGGCGGCAUGCCGUUCGGUGACGCAGCUAACGCAUUAAGCACUCCGCCUGGGGAGUACGGUCGCAAGAUUAAAACUCAAAGGAAUUGACGGGGGCCCGCACAAGCGGAGGAGCAUGUGGUUUAAUUCGAUGAUACGCGAGGAACCUUACCCGGGCUUGAAAGUUAGUGAAUGAUUCAGAGACGAAUCAGUCCUUCGGGACACGAAACUAGGUGCUGCAUGGCUGUCGUCAGCUCGUGCCGUGAGGUGUUGGGUUAAGUCCCGCAACGAGCGCAACCCCUAUGUUUAGUUGCCAGCAUUUCAGGUGGGGACUCUAAACAGACUGCCUGCGCAAGCAGAGAGGAAGGUGGGGACGACGUCAAGUCAUCAUGGCCCUUACGUCCGGGGCUACACACGUGCUACAAUGGAUGGUACAGCGGGCAGCUACCUGGUAACAGGAUGCUAAUCUCGAAAAGCCAUUCACAGUUCGGAUUGAGGUCUGCAACUCGACCUCAUGAAGUUGGAUUCGCUAGUAAUCGCGUAUCAGCAAUGACGCGGUGAAUACGUUCCCGGGCCUUGUACACACC
RNAcentral lists this ribosomal RNA (1372 nucleotides) under uncultured bacterium. RNAcentral describes it as "bacterial SSU rRNA". It matches the Rfam family "Bacterial small subunit ribosomal RNA", at positions 28 to 1391 of the family's 1533-position model. The record is from RNAcentral.